Non-coding RNA from Monodelphis domestica (gray short-tailed opossum), 1988 nucleotides. Lineage: Eukaryota; Metazoa; Chordata; Mammalia; Didelphimorphia; Didelphidae. The record is from RefSeq and is a predicted model, not a curated record.
CCCUCUCACCAGGACUCGGCUGCUGGCGCUAAUCCGCGUAUCCUGAACAAAUGGAUUGGGCACAGGCGGCGGGAAGAAGGAUGCUUGACGGGGAACCAUGGGCGGCCGCAAGCCAGGUGCCCCAGAGUCCCUGACCCCCGCCCCAGGCAAGGUCGCCGCCACUGCGGCGGCCUCCGCGCAUCCGCUCAUGCUGGGCCAGAGCGGCCUCUUCCACUCUCCAAGGGGUAACAAGCAGGAGCCCCAAAGACAGUUCCGGGCCCCCACUGCGCAGGCUGACCGGUCCACUCCCUACCUAUGCUGGUUCCGCCCCUCCCCUCCCUGCCUUUCUCCCACGAAUGAGGGCGGGAUCCCUCCUGCAGAGAUUGGCCCGCUUCCCCCGGAUUGGCCCCGCCUUUUUCAGUGCCUCCGUCCCCUGGGCGAAUGCUUCCACCUUUUGCUCCAGAGGAAGGUUGAUUAUGGAGGAUAAGGAGAAUUACACAUUUCCUUAGAAAACAGCCUUCCUCGCAGAGAAUGUUCCUUGGAAAACGUCUGCCGUAAGACAGUGAGGAACAAGAUUAUCUGAUUAGGAAUGCCUUUCUACUAGAAGUCAAGAAGCAACUGGUUGAUGAAGCACAUGUGUGACCCACCAAGUCUGACCCUCCUCAACUCAUGUCUAGACUAUAGCAAAAGCCUUCUGGUUGGCCUCCCUGCCUCGAGUUUUUCCUCAUUCCAGUCCAUCCUCCACUCACCUAUCAGUGAUCUUCAUAAAUUGCAGGUCUGAUCAUGUUACACACCCCACCCCCAAACUUAGUAACUGGCCCACAAAUGUUUAUCACUUCAUUGAUUAUGAAUAAAUGUUUAUUGAUUCAUAGACUUGAGGCUGAGUUCUGCAGAACUCAAUGUAGAGGGUCUUGGGCACAUUCUCUAUAACUACAUCUCUCCACAGGUUAACUGCACAGUUAAUAUUUUUCCAAAGAGCAUUGUCAGGAAUAGUAUCCUGAGACAGAAAUGAAAGAAGCUGAUUUGUGUAGUGGAUGAAGAACUGCAUUUGGAGUCAGGGGACAGGAAUUUUAUUAUUGCUACAUUUUUGUCCUGAGCAAGUCACUUCUUGGUAUCUCUGAGCCUAAGCUUUCUAUCUCUCCCUACACUAAAGAGGUUGAACUCAAUGUCCUCUAAAGUUAUUUCCAUCUCUAAAUCCCCUGAUCCUAAUCUGUCUACUGGGCAGGGGAUUUUUCCCCUACCUGCUUUGUAUAUUCAUUCUUGUCCCUAAUUCCACCCAGUUCUGGCUACAUUCAGCUGGCCUCUAUAGCUUCCUCUUUCCCAACAUCUGGAACUUGUUGGGGGGAAGGUGGCAUAGGAUUGGGGGUGAGACAGUGAAGAAAAAGGAAGCAUUAACAUAAGGCGUCUUGAGAACACUGCACUAAACUGUCAGCUAACUGAUAAACACCAAGGCAGGCAAGCCAGCCUUUCUGAAGUAGCAGAGCAUUCUGAGGAAGAGAUAAGAGGCAAUGUCACAGGCAAAUCAAACCACCAACAACUUGACCACCAUCACCCCUCAGUCCCUAACAGAGACAGCCAGGACCUUGAACCCCAAAACUUUUGAUAGAGUGAUAUUUCCAGCCUGAUACCCUCAGCUGUCAUCCUGGGACCCCUAUGGAAAUGAAGCUUGGGAAUUGCUCCUACAGAUGCUGUAGACACAUUUUCAAAGAUCCAAAAAAGAAAUUUAUGUCACCAAAAUCCUUGGUACUUCUCAAAUGAUUCAUCAUCAAAAAUUGAUAUGAUUUUAUCAGUUGAGAUGACACAAAAGAAGAAGCAUUACCAUUGACUUUGUUGUUUCACUCUAAGGACCAUGGAGCUUUUGGUCUGACUUACAACUGAAACCAUCUGUAUAUAUGGUUGCACAUUAGAAUGUGAGCUCCUCAGAGCAGAUUGCCUUGUUUUUCUGUUUGUAUCACAGGCACUUAACAUAGUGCUUUGUAUAUAGUAUUUAAUAAAUGCUAUAUUCAUUA